This 390-nucleotide ribosomal RNA is filed under the name uncultured bacterium. Its description in RNAcentral is "bacterial SSU rRNA". It matches the Rfam family "Bacterial small subunit ribosomal RNA", at positions 28 to 420 of the family's 1533-position model. The record is from RNAcentral.
GACGAACGCUGGCGGCGUGCUUAACACAUGCAAGUCGAGCGGUAAGGCCCUUUCGGGGGUACACGAGCGGCGAACGGGUGAGUAACACGUGGGUGACCUGCCCUUAGCUCUGGGAUAAGCCUGGGAAACUGGGUCUAAUACCGGAUAUGACCUCAUGACGCAUGUUGUGGGGUGGAAAGCCUUGUGCGGCUAGGGAUGGGCCCGCGGCCUAUCAGCUUGUUGGUGGGGUGAUGGCCACCAAGGCGACGACGGGUAGCCGGCCUGAGAGGGCGACCGGCCACACUGGGACUGAGACACGGCCCAGACUCCUACGGGAGGCAGCAGUGGGGAAUCUUGCGCAAUGGGCGAAAGCCUGACGCAGCGACGCCGCGUGAGGGAUGACGGCCUCGG